GGCCAGACUCCUACGGGAGGCAGCAGUGGGGAAUAUUGCACAAUGGGGGAAACCCUGAUGCAGCGACGCCGCGUGAGUGAAGAAGUAUUUCGGUAUGUAAAGCUCUAUCAGCAGGGAAGAAAAUGACGGUACCUGACUAAGAAGCCCCGGCUAACUACGUGCCAGCAGCCGCGGUAAUACGUAGGGGGCAAGCGUUAUCCGGAUUUACUGGGUGUAAAGGGAGCGUAGACGGCAUGGCAAGUCAGAUGUGAAAGCCCGGGGCUCAACCCCGGGACUGCAUUUGAAACUGUCAGGCUGGAGUGCAGGAGAGGUAAGUGGAAUUCCUAGUGUAGCGGUGAAAUGCGUAGAUAUUAGGAGGAACACCAGUGGCGAAGGCGGCUUACUGGACUGUAACUGACGUUGAGGCUCGAAAGCGUGGGGAGCAAACAGGAUUAGAUACCCGAGUACU
RNAcentral lists this ribosomal RNA (448 nucleotides) under uncultured bacterium. RNAcentral describes it as "bacterial SSU rRNA". It matches the Rfam family "Bacterial small subunit ribosomal RNA", at positions 329 to 794 of the family's 1533-position model. The record is from RNAcentral.